RNAcentral lists this long non-coding RNA (614 nucleotides) under Amborella trichopoda. RNAcentral's name for it is "long non-coding RNA (ATRI_LNC004626)". Lineage: Eukaryota; Viridiplantae; Streptophyta; Magnoliopsida; Amborellales; Amborellaceae. The record is from RNAcentral.
UUCAAAAUGCCAUUACAGAGCGACUUCCCCCCUCUUUCCUUCUUUAAUAACGAGGAAUCACCGUGGACUCUCUGUGUCCUUUCUGCAGUAAUAAUGAUGAUACGUUAGAGCAUUUUUUGUGGAUCCACAUUUAUCGAAGGUUUGAUUCUUUGAAUAACUUGGUAUGUUAGCAUCUUUGGAGAGCAUGUCGUCCCUCAUUGGGUUGUUAAGUGGCUGCCGCAUAAGGCACAUGAGGACUUCAUCAAUGGAUGUAUGCAUGUAUUUAGUUCAAAAGGGUUAUUUAAGGGGCUAUAUGAUCUAUGAGUAUGAGUUGGUCUCAGGGUUUGAAAUUUGAAGCUUCAGGGAUUUCCAAAUAUGAUGAUGUUUUUGCAGAUGGAAAUGGGGAUUUCUCACGAGAUGGUUGUUGAAGAUGGGAUCUCCACCCAUCAUUUUUUUAUUCAUUGAGAUAUUUAUGUCAUAAAUAUGAAAGUCUAACCACUGAUCAUCUCCACUGUAAUUUGUUUCUUGUUAUCGUCAAAUUAUUCAGCAACAUUGAUAAGCACAAUGGGGUUUUUGCAUGAAAAUUUAUGAUCUUGAAGUGAUUUUUAGGUCCUUUUUUUAUGAGUAUUAAUUGC